Molecule: long non-coding RNA, 1211 nt
Organism: Oryzias melastigma (Indian medaka)
Lineage: Eukaryota; Metazoa; Chordata; Actinopteri; Beloniformes; Adrianichthyidae
Exons: 2
Source: RefSeq, a predicted model, not a curated record
GGUUCUUAAGGCUCUGAAGGUCAGGCAGCCACAGGUUUUUACAACUGGUUUAUAAUGGCUUAGAAAGUAAUUUAGUCAUUCACAAUCAAGAAAUCAUAAUUCUCAGAAAGUGCUUGCUAUUGAUUUUAUGACAGGAACUUGAGGCCCGGUAGAGAUCUGAACGUGGACUGCAUUUGGCCCACGGGCUGGACUUUGAACACGCCUGAUUUGAAGGAUAUCUAACCUAAAGAAGUAAAUUUUCACACCUAUGGUUGUUUCACAGAACUUUUCAUCAGCCACCUCGUUGGCGAUGUUUGCCCCCAUGAGCACGGUCAUGGUGAUGCCGAGAUUCCCCCGGAUGACCUCAGAGAUGAGCUUCAGACCUUCAGGACCUGCAUCCACACCCUGUGGGAAACAAACUCAGAGAAAGAAAGCCAGACGUGAUCCAAGGAGGAGACAGAGAGACCAUACAAGGACAUGAAGACGCUCAAAGAGAUGAUGGAGUGUGAAAGAAAGGAAUGAGAUAAUAUCAGAAGCUGGACUAGAGAAACUAGGAGGCUGCUGUUAUAAAGUCCUUCUAAAGUUCAAGAAUACUCAAGUUGUUUCUGACAGACGAGAGCUGGUAGUAAUCACACAAUAAUUAAAAUGAAAACCAUCAAAAAUGGGACAAAAAUAAAAAUCAGGCAAACCUAACAACAAAAUAAAAGUUCUCAGAUUUUACACAGAUUACAAAACUAUCUGGAUUAGCUUCAGUAAUCUCUCAAGAUUUAUGAUGACAAAAGAACAGAAUGUAGAUUCAUGUAUGUAAAAGUCUGGUUUACCUGGUGCAGAUAUUUGUCACAGUUUAUGAACUCUCGCUCAUGUGGGUCCUGGAGUUUGUGGGUCUUGACAUACUGCCACAGAGCCUGGAUGAUGACCGGUCUGGUCUGUGUAUGAAUACCCAGCAUCCGGGCCAGUCGAGGGUCCAGCUUAAACUGGGGGGGCUGCAGGACGCAGAGGACGGUCAGCAAAAACAAAGAAACUGCAAAGAGACCCGUCACGACUGAGCGCAGCUCCUUACCUGGUAAUCGAGCAUGAGCAGGACGGUGCAGCGAACGCUCACAUCACCGGGCCUCUUCACCUGGAAACCAUCGGUCUCCUGGGUGGUAGCAGUCCUAUGCCACUGAAUGGGAAAACAAAAAUAUGUAGUUUAGGAUGGUUUGAACGUUAACUGUCCUUAAAGAAAAAAAAAA